GGACCGUAUACAAGUCUCCUGGGAUGGAGCAUCAUAGAGGGUGAGAAUCCCGUCUCUGAUACGGACUACCAGUGCAUUGUGGUAUGCUCUCAACGAGUCGAGUUGUUUGGGAAUGCAGCUCAAAAUGGGUGGUAAAUUCCAUCUAAAGCUAAAUAUUGGCGAGAGACCGAUAGCGAACAAGUACCGUGAGGGAAAGAUGAAAAGAACUUUGGAAAGAGAGUUAAACAGUACGUGAAAUUGCUGAAAGGGAAACGCUUGAAGUCAGUCGCGUCUGCUGGGAAUCAGCCUUGCUUUUGCGUGGUGUACUUCCUAGUUUGACGGGUCAGCAUCAAUUUUGACCGCUGGAAAAAGGUGAGGGGAAUGUGGCAGCUCCGGCUGUGUUAUAGCCUCUUAUUGUAUACAGCGGUUGGGAUUGAGGAACGCAGCACGCCGAAAGGCCGGGUCUUCUGACUACGUUCGUGCUUAGGAUGCUGGCAUAAUGGCUUUAAGCGACCCGUCUUGAAACACGGACCAAGGAGUCUAACAUGCCUGCGAGUGUUUGGGUGGAAAACUCGAGCGCGUAAUGAAAGUGAAAGUUGAGAUCCCUGUCGUGGGGAGCAUCGACGCCCGGACCAGAACUUUUGGGACGGAUCCGCGGUAGAGCAUGUAUGUUGGGACCCGAAAGAUGGUGAACUAUGCCUGAAUAGGGUGAAGCCAGAGGAAACUCUGGUGGAGGCUCGUAGCGGUUCUGACGUGCAAAUCGAUCGU
This 747-nucleotide ribosomal RNA is filed under the name Micropsalliota sp. Its description in RNAcentral is "partial large subunit ribosomal RNA". It matches the Rfam family "Eukaryotic large subunit ribosomal RNA", at positions 172 to 905 of the family's 3401-position model. Lineage: Eukaryota; Fungi; Basidiomycota; Agaricomycetes; Agaricales; Agaricaceae. The record is from RNAcentral.